UACGGGGGGGGCAAGCGUUGUUCGGAAUUACUGGGCGUAAAGGGCUCGUAGGCGGCCAACUAAGUCAGACGUGAAAUCCCUCGGCUUAACCGGGGAACUGCGUCUGAUACUGGAUGGCUUGAGUUCGGGAGAGGGAUGCGGAAUUCCAGGUGUAGCGGUGAAAUGCGUAGAUAUCUGGAGGAACACCGGUGGCGAAGGCGGCGAUCCUGGACCGACACUGACGCUGAGGAGCGAAAGCCAGGGGAGCAAACGGG
Molecule: ribosomal RNA, 254 nt
Filed under: uncultured bacterium
Lineage: Bacteria
Description: partial 16S ribosomal RNA
Rfam family: Bacterial small subunit ribosomal RNA
Source: RNAcentral